UACAGAGGGGGCCAGCGUUAUUCGGAAUUAUUGGGCGUAAAGGGCGCGUAGGCGGCUUUGCGUGUCUUUCGUGAAAUCCCUCGGCUCAACUGAGGACGUGCGGAAGAAACUGCAGGGCUGGAGUCCGGGAGAGGAGGGUGGAAUUCCCAGUGUAGCGGUGAAAUGCGUAGAUAUUGGGAGGAACACCGGUGGCGAAGGCGGGCCCCUCUGGACCGGUACUGACGCUGAUGCGCG
RNAcentral lists this ribosomal RNA (234 nucleotides) under uncultured bacterium. RNAcentral's name for it is "partial 16S ribosomal RNA". It matches the Rfam family "Bacterial small subunit ribosomal RNA", at positions 524 to 755 of the family's 1533-position model. The record is from RNAcentral.